CGGCGUGCCUAAUACAUGCAAGUCGAGCGGACUUACAAAAGCUUGCUUUUGUAAGUUAGCGGCGGACGGGUGAGUAACACGUGGGCAACCUGCCCUUGAGACUGGGAUAACUUCGGGAAACCGGAGCUAAUACCGGAUAAUAUAAGGAACCUCCUGGUUCCUUAUUGAAAGAUGGUUUCGGCUAUCACUUAAGGAUGGGCCCGCGGCGCAUUAGCUAGUUGGUGAGGUAACGGCUCACCAAGGCGACGAUGCGUAGCCGACCUGAGAGGGUGAUCGGCCACACUGGGACUGAGACACGGCCCAGACUCCUACGGGAGGCAGCAGUAGGGAAUCUUCCACAAUGGACGAAAGUCUGAUGGAGCAACGCCGCGUGAGUGAUGAAGGCCUUCGGGUCGUAAAGCUCUGUUGUUAGGGAAGAACAAGUGCGAGAGUAACUGCUCGCACCUUGACGGUACCUAACCAGAAAGCCACGGCUAACUACGUGCCAGCAGCCGCGGUAAUACGUAGGUGGCAAGCGUUAUCCGGAAUUAUUGGGCGUAAAGCGCGCGCAGGUGGUUUCUUAAGUCUGAUGUGAAAGCCCACGGCUCAACCGUGGAGGGUCAUUGGAAACUGGGGAACUUGAGUGCAGAAGAGGAAAGUGGAAUUCCAAGUGUAGCGGUGAAAUGCGUAGAGAUUUGGAGGAACACCAGUGGCGAAGGCGACUUUCUGGUCUGUAACUGACACUGAGGCGCGAAAGCGUGGGGAGCAAACAGGAUUAGAUACCCUGGUAGUCCACGCCGUAAACGAUGAGUGCUAAGUGUUAGAGGGUUUCCGCCCUUUAGUGCUGCAGCUAACGCAUUAAGC
RNAcentral lists this ribosomal RNA (843 nucleotides) under Bacillus sp. (in: firmicutes). Its description in RNAcentral is "bacterial SSU rRNA". It matches the Rfam family "Bacterial small subunit ribosomal RNA", at positions 40 to 865 of the family's 1533-position model. Lineage: Bacteria; Bacillati; Bacillota; Bacilli; Caryophanales; Bacillaceae. The record is from RNAcentral.